Molecule: ribosomal RNA, 393 nt
Filed under: uncultured bacterium
Lineage: Bacteria
Description: bacterial SSU rRNA
Rfam family: Bacterial small subunit ribosomal RNA
Source: RNAcentral
GACGAACGCUGGCGGCGUGCUUAACACAUGCAAGUCGAGCGGUAAGGCCCUUUCGGGGUACGACGAGCGGCGAACGGGUGAGUAACACGUGGGUGACCUGCCCUCCAGCUCUGGGAGUAAGCCUGGGAAACCGGGUACUAAUACCGGAUAUGACUCCAUGACGCAUGUUGUGGGGUGGAAAGCCUUGUGCGGCUGAGGAUGGGCCCGCGGCCUAUCAGCUUGUUGGUGGGGUGAUGGCCUACCAAGGCGACGACGGGUAGCCGGCCUGAGAGGGCGACCGGCCACACUGGGACUGAGACACGGCCCAGACUCCUACGGGAGGCAGCAGUGGGGAAUCUUGCGCAAUGGGCGAAAGCCUGACGCAGCGACGCCGCGUGAGGGAUGACGGCCUGG